Molecule: transfer RNA, 65 nt
Filed under: Teratoscincus keyserlingii (Persian wonder Gecko)
Lineage: Eukaryota; Metazoa; Chordata; Lepidosauria; Squamata; Sphaerodactylidae
Description: tRNA-Ser
Source: RNAcentral
GAGGAGGACCCCCUAAUUAGAACUGCUAACUCAAAUUACCGAAGUUAAACUCUUCGGCCCCCUCU